GCUACAGGCUUAACACAUGCAAGUCGAGGGGCAGCAUGGUCUUAGCUUGCUAAGGCCGAUGGCGACCGGCGCACGGGUGAGUAACACGUAUCCAACCUGCCGUCUACUCUUGGACAGCCUUCUGAAAGGAAGAUUAAUACAAGAUGGCAUCAUGAGUCCACAUGUUCACAUGAUUAAAGGUAUUCCGGUAGACGAUGGGGAUGCGUUCCAUUAGAUAGUAGGCGGGGUAACGGCCCACCUAGUCUUCGAUGGAUAGGGGUUCUGAGAGGAAGGUCCCCCACAUUGGAACUGAGACACGGUCCAAACUCCUACGGGAGGCAGCAGUGAGGAAUAUUGGUCAAUGGGCGCAGGCCUGAACCAGCCAAGUAGCGUGAAGGAUGACUGCCCUAUGGGUUGUAAACUUCUUUUAUAAAGGAAUAAAGUCGGGUAUGCAUACCCGUUUGCAUGUACUUUAUGAAUAAGGAUCGGCUAACUCCGUGCCAGCAGCCGCGGUAAUACGGAGGAUCCGAGCGUUAUCCGGAUUUAUUGGGUUUAAAGGGAGCGUAGAUGGAUGUUUAAGUCAGUUGUGAAAGUUUGCGGCUCAACCGUAAAAUUGCAGUUGAUACUGGAUAUCUUGAGUGCAGUUGAGGCAGGCGGAAUUCGUGGUGUAGCGGUGAAAUGCUUAGAUAUCACGAAGAACUCCGAUUGCGAAGGCAGCCUGCUAAGCUGCAACUGACAUUGAGGCUCGAAAGUGUGGGUAUCAAACAGGAUUAGAUACCCUGGUAGUCCACACGGUAAACGAUGAAUACUCGCUGUUUGCGAUAUACAGCAAGCGGCCAAGCGAAAGCGUUAAGUAUUCCACCUGGGGAGUACGCCGGCAACGGUGAAACUCAAAGGAAUUGACGGGGGCCCGCACAAGCGGAGGAACAUGUGGUUUAAUUCGAUGAUACGCGAGGAACCUUACCCGGGCUUAAAUUGCAGAUGAAUUACGGUGAAAGCCGUAAGCCGCAAGGCAUCUGUGAAGGUGCUGCAUGGUUGUCGUCAGCUCGUGCCGUGAGGUGUCGGCUUAAGUGCCAUAACGAGCGCAACCCUUGUUGUCAGUUACUAACAGGUUCCGCUGAGGACUCUGACAAGACUGCCAUCGUAAGAUGUGAGGAAGGUGGGGAUGACGUCAAAUCAGCACGGCCCUUACGUCCGGGGCUACACACGUGUUACAAUGGGGGGUACAGAGGGCCGCUACCACGCGAGUGGAUGCCAAUCCCAAAAACCUCUCUCAGUUCGGACUGGAGUCUGCAACCCGACUCCACGAAGCUGGAUUCGCUAGUAAUCGCGCAUCAGCCACGGCGCGGUGAAUACGUUCCCGGGCCUUGUACACACCGCCCGUCAAGCCAUGGGAGCCGGGGGGUACCUGAAGUGCGUAACCGCGAGGAGCGCCCUAGGGUAAAACUGGUGACUGGGGCUAAGUCAUAACA
RNAcentral lists this ribosomal RNA (1451 nucleotides) under uncultured organism. RNAcentral describes it as "SSU rRNA". It matches the Rfam family "Bacterial small subunit ribosomal RNA". The record is from RNAcentral.